RNAcentral lists this ribosomal RNA (420 nucleotides) under bacterium. RNAcentral describes it as "partial 16S ribosomal RNA". It matches the Rfam family "Bacterial small subunit ribosomal RNA", at positions 355 to 776 of the family's 1533-position model. The record is from RNAcentral.
UGGGGGAUAUUGCACAAUGGGCGAAAGCCUGAUGCAGCGACGCCGCGUGGGGGAUGAAGGCUUUCGGGUUGUAAACCUCUUUCGCUAUCGAACAAGGCCCGCUUAGGGUGGGUUGAGGGUAGGUGGAGAAGAAGCGCCGGCUAACUACGUGCCAGCAGCCGCGGUAAUACGUAGGGCGCGAGCGUUGUCCGGAAUUAUUGGGCGUAAAGGGCUUGUAGGCGGCUUGUUGCGCCUGCUGUGAAAACGCGGGGCUUAACUUCGCGCGUGCAGUGGGUACGGGCAGGCUUGAGUGUGGUGGGGGUGACUGGAAUUCCAGGUGUAGCGGUGGAAUGCGCAGAUAUCUGGGGGAACACCGAUGGCGAAGGCAGGUCACUGGGCCAUUACUGACGCUGAGGAGCGAAAGCAUGGGUAGCGAACAGG